AAAGGCAGGUCUAGUAUAGGGCAAUUAUACCGUGAAACUGCGAAUGGCUCAUUAAAUCAGUUAUCGUUUAUUUGAUAGUACCUUACUACUUGGAUAACCGUGGUAAUUCUAGAGCUAAUACAUGCUAAAAACCCCGACUUCGGGAGGGGUGUAUUUAUUAGAUAAAAAACCAACGCCCUUCGGGGCUCCUUGGUGAAUCAUAAUAACUUAACGGAUCGCAUGGCCUUGCGCCGGCGACGGUUCAUUCAAAUUUCUGCCCUAUCAACUUUCGAUUGUAGGGUAUUGGCCUACAAUGGUAUCAACGGGUAACGGGGAAUUAGGGUUCGAUUCCGGAGAGGGAGCCUGAGAAACGGCUACCACAUCCAAGGAAGGCAGCAGGCGCGCAAAUUACCCAAUCCCGACACGGGGAGGUAGUGACAAUAAAUACUGAUACAGGGCUCUUUUGGGUCUUGUAAUUGGAAUGAGUACAAUUUAAAUCCCUUAACGAGGAACAAUUGGAGGGCAAGUCUGGUGCCAGCAGCCGCGGUAAUUCCAGCUCCAAUAGCGUAUAUUAAAGUUGUUGCAGUUAAAAAGCUCGUAGUUGAACCUUGGGUCUGGCUGGCCGGUCCGCCUCACCGCGUGCACUGGUCCGGCCGGACCUUUCCUUCUGGAGAACCGCAUGCCCUUCACUGGGUGUGUCGGGGAACCAGGACUUUUACUUUGAAAAAAUUAGAGUGUUCAAAGCAGGCCUUUGCUCGAAUACAUUAGCAUGGAAUAAUAGAAUAGGACGUGCGGUCCUAUUUUGUUGGUUUCUAGGACCGCCGUAAUGAUUAAUAGGGAUAGUCGGGGGCAUCAGUAUUCAAUUGUCAGAGGUGAAAUUCUUAGAUUUAUUGAAGACUAACUACUGCGAAAGCAUUUGCCAAGGAUGUUUUCAUUAAUCAGUGAACGAAAGUUAGGGGAUCGAAGACGAUCAGAUACCGUCGUAGUCUUAACCGUAAACUAUGCCGACUAGGGAUCGGGCGAUGUUAUUCUUUUGACUCGCUCGGCACCUUACGAGAAAUCAAGUUUUGGGUUCUGGGGGGGAGUAUGGUCGCAAGGCUGAACUUAAAGGGAAUUGACGGAAAGAGCAA
RNAcentral lists this ribosomal RNA (1109 nucleotides) under Rhytidhysteron sp. JCL-2023c. RNAcentral's name for it is "SSU rRNA". It matches the Rfam family "Eukaryotic small subunit ribosomal RNA", at positions 51 to 1167 of the family's 1831-position model. Lineage: Eukaryota; Fungi; Ascomycota; Dothideomycetes; Hysteriales; Hysteriaceae. The record is from RNAcentral.